This is a long non-coding RNA of Pomacea canaliculata, 4354 nucleotides long. RefSeq lists it as uncharacterized. The transcript is spliced from 2 exons. The record is from RefSeq and is a predicted model, not a curated record. NCBI's taxonomy places the organism in Eukaryota, Metazoa, Mollusca, Gastropoda, Architaenioglossa, Ampullariidae.
ACGAUCACCUCAAACAUGGCGUCUAGGCAGAACAAGUAAAUGCGUGAGGCAAACCUUUCUCAUCGAGAAGUGAUGAUGUUGGAAAUCAUUUUAGAGAAUAUGGCCAGCAUAUGUUCGGAUUUUUCCAAUAAGGACAAAAUAAAGUCUGGAUGAUGAUUGCAGAAAAAGUGUCAUAUUUGGGAGCCGCAACACGCACCAACGACGAGGUGCGUGAAAAGUUUUAUAAUUUAAAACGAGAACACAGAGCCCGAGUCUCAGCAAGAAAGCAAACAGCAAUGGAGGGGUUAUCGCAAAACCAUACGAUGACAUCCUCGAUGCCAUUGUGGGAAAGGAUACAGAGCUGGUCAAGGGGGUGAAAGGAGGCUUUGAUGUGCAUCCAUGCCUAUUGUCGUCAUGAAGCUGUAUUUUGCAUUCGAUGCUGGCAGUUGGUCAAAAAACCAUUGUUUCCUUUGAAGGUGCCAGACUCAAAAGUUAGCUUUUUACAACUAAUUUUAGCAUCUUAUUAAUCUUAAUUAAACCACUGCACUGUAAAGAUUGAGUGUGCUGGCCAGUUGUAAAGGGUCGGCAGGCUGGCCAGUUCUAACUGUUGAAUGCUCUGUUGCGCAAUGGAUAACUCUUGUCAAGCAUUCAACCACAUCUAAUUACAACACUCACUUCAUGUCCAUUCACCAUUCAAAGUUCAUAAUCCAAUGUUCACAGGUCAUUACUUACAUCAAUACUAUAAGUCUAACUUCACGUUGGCGUAAACUUUGAGCAAUACACACACUUCAAACAGCUUCCUCGCGUCUCCUGGCAGUGGACUUCCAGUCCCUAUCAGGCAGAUUAGGAAAGUGAGGAUUCUCUCGUAGUCGCCUCUUCCUACAUGUGGGGUGUCCCUGGUCACCCAUUGAUCUUGGACUGAAUCAGGGAAGUCCGCAGGUACUGAAACUAUUAUACCCCCACACACACACGCGCGCGGCCUUGUGUUUAGGCCAGAGUGUCCCGUGUCACUGGUCAGAUUAUGGGCCACACCUUGACCAUCCUGUCCUGUCAUUAGCCGGAGCGUUGCCAACUUGACCAGUGCACUUUUGGUGGUCUAAAUCUAACUAAACAUUGCUAAAAGUAGAAAAUACGUUUUCUACAACAUCCCUUUCUCUGGGAGAAACAAAUUGUGACUGAUAAGAACAAUUUCUUCAAAAUCAAAAACUAUGCAUACUAAACAAGACAUAAAAUGAAUUAGCACAAUUCAAUUACAUCAAAACAGUAACCAAAAUCAUUAACAUAUGCAUCAAUCUCAGUAAGCAAAGCAACCAGAAAUUAUUAAAGCAUUGAAUUUUCAUCAGAAAAGUCAGUCUUUCCAUGUCUCCUACUUGUCUUAUGCACUAUAGGCAUGAUUAUACACUAUAUAAAUCGCACAUUUAUUGUUAUUCCUUUCAUGCUGUGUCAGCAUUUAAAUGAAAGAUAACCAACAAAAUUGUAUACCAAGAUAAUCUUUUUACUUUGAAACCGAAAAACGAAACUUAAUUGCUGGUUCAGCUGUUGGAUAAUCUGUAAAAGUACCCAAAAUUGCUGCAAACACAUUUCACUCUGCCUGAAAUUGGGGUUAACAUAUAUAGAUGACUAUGUGUGACGAACGAGGCGGGGCAGAGGGAUGGAGCUAACCCGCCCGAGGGGAAAGGGGUCACUUUAGCUGGUUCACUCCACCCGACUUUCGCCGUCACAUUCUGUCACACGUCCGCACGCGUACUAACAGUCACACUCACCCGCAUGCGCAAACACACCUGCAAGACAGUUGUACAAAUUAUAAAAUAAUUAUUAAAACAAAAGCAAAAUUAGGUUGACAUGAGAUCAGAUAUGAAAUUGAACAUGCAUAUAACUACUUAAACCGGCCCGGCAUCAGCGCCGGUAAUCGAUGGUUACAGAAUAAAGGUUUAGAAGAUAAUUAGUUGAUACAUCAAUAUCUAUACAUACGUCCGGACACUCUGUCCGUUCUGGACCUACUGUUCACAGUCGUGGAAUCUGGUAUGUCUUACAAAUUUUUUAUGAAAAUGUACACUGCAGCAUCCCUGCAUAUGAUCUCAGGAAAGAACUAGCAAUUCACUGUAAAGACAUUACCAGGCAGAACGAAGAAGUUUUAUAUCCAUGUCCAUAACACUGCUAAACAAGGCAUGACAAAUAUGUGCGUGUGUGGAGGAGGUUAGGCACAAAUUUAUGCUCAAGUGGAUUUUUGUUGUUACCAUUUCAAUAUUAAAUGUUGAACUUUUAUAUAAAUACUAAUCUUUUGAUGCUUGUAAUGUCAUAUAGUUUUACAUGGUUUGCAUACUAUAGAAGCUGAACAUAUAUACAUUUCUCCAGGGAGAAAAUAAAGUUGUACAAAAUUACAACAUGCUAAUUUAUGACUUCUUUUACCUUUAAGAUUCUAGCUCUCUGCAAAACAUCAUGCCCUGUAAGUGUGAGAACGUCCAGGUCGUUCUGUGUUUCAGGCAAUGUGCAGCCAACUGCAUCCAACGUAGAUUGGUCGCAUCUGCUCAUCAGCCUUAUGUCUUACAAAUUUCUUAUACAAAUGUACACUGCAGCAUCCCUGAAUAUGGUCUCAGGAAAGAACUAGCAAUUCACUGUAAAGACAUUACCAGGCAGAACGAAGAAGUUUUAUAUCCAUGUCCAUAACACUGCUAAACAAUGCUUGACAAAUAUGUGCAUGUGCAGAGGAGGUUAGGCACAAAUUUAUGCUCAAGUGGAUUUUUUUUGGUUACCAUUUGAAUAUUAAAUGUUGAACAUUUAUAUAAAUACUAAUCUUUUGAUGCUUGUAAUGUCACAUAGUUUUUUUAAUGCUUUGCAUACUAUGGAAGCUGAAUAGAUAAACAUUUCUCCUGGGAGAAAAAGUUGCAUCAAAAUUACAUGCUAAUUUAUGACUUCUUUUACCUUUAAGAUUCUAGCUCUCUGCAAAGCAUCCUGCUGUAUGAGAACGUCCAAGUCGUUCUGUGUUUCAGCCAACUCUAUCCAAUGUAAUUACUCGACAAAAAAUUCUUUUUAUCUAGUCAAAUACACGUAAUUUUAAUUUUGUAAACUUGAGUUCUGAUGUUCCUAAGGGGAUGUAACCUUCAUUUGGUGGAAAGGCAAAUUUAUAGUCGAUUACUUCCCUUACACUUUCCCAUCGUUAUCUUAUUUGGUGAACUGUAUGGAAGGGGGAGGAUCGGGCACAAUGCCGCUAAUGAACUGCCUUCGAUGAACAGGGUGAUGGGGAUAUUGGAGUUUGUUUUUGUUUUUUUUACUAUUUUUCAAACAUCUUCAACAUCGAUUGAAGUAGGUUUAGGGUAAAUUUUCUCUCCCAUAGACAGGAGCAUGACCGUCAGCCAUGUUGAACAUCGCUCACCCCUCGCAACUCGGGAUAUUGGAGUUUUUGUUGUGUUUCUUUUGCAUCGGUUACAAUGAGUGUUUGGCUAGGGUAAGCAGACGACAGAAGAAGUGAGGUCACAGUCUCAGCAUAGCUUUGUAAUACCCAUCAACUGUUACUCUAUAAGAAAGCUGUACAUUUAUUUAUUUAAAGCUAGGACAAUGUAGUCUUCAAUACAGUCUGCUGUAACAUGAACAUAGGAUUGUGCAUGUGAAAUUUAAUCAAGCAUAGGUGGCGUGUUAGAAAAGGUUCUGAAUGUGCCUUGGAUAAAACGUACAUAUAUUUAGUAUGCAAAUAUUAUAAUGCUCUCUCUAUGUAUAAAUAUAUUUGCUAGCAGACGAACACAUAUUCAAUCUAACCUGUAAGUGCCCUUGUGGAUUAGCAAAGUUGUAUUGAACUGUAUUGUACACAAAAAGACAACAGGCAAAGUUUUGAAUGUGUAAUGUGAAGAUUUAUUCCUUCAGCUUUAAAAAAAAUGCGUAUACAUGUAGUUGUCUUCUUUAUGAAGGUAUAAUACUAAGUUUUUCAUGCUGAUUUGAGAGAUAAAUAUGAUCAUUAUACUCAAAUACAGAACUGGAAUCUAAAUUUUGCAUGUUAAGUGCAUUCUUAUAUUAUUGUUUGAUUGUAGUACGUGUAAAAGUUGUGUAUAUCAUAAGUAUGGAUAAAUGUAUAUGUUAUUGAUAAAUAUACUGUGUAUAGACAUACAAUUGUUUUCUAUGAAGACCAAAUAUGAAAUCUCAUGUAUUUAUUAAGAAAGUUAUAUUUAUGAAGAAAUUGUUUUACAUAAAUGAAAACAAGUCCUUUAAUUGUCAGAAGCAUAACUGAUAAUGUAUUUUCCUCUGCUUUGGACUGUUACUAAAUUUAAUAAUAAAAGUAUGUUUGUCACACUGGUCCAGACAGUAUUUUUGAAAUGCUACUUUCAUGCCUAGUACUUCUUCAUUGAUGACGAAAAAAGAUGUUAAUAAAAUUAAUGAAAUUUUA